UCUGGUGACAAUGGCAAGGAGGUCACACCUGUUCCCAUGCCGAACACAGAAGUUAAGCUCCUUAGCGCCGAUGGUAGUUGGGACCUUGUCCCUGUGAGAGUAGGACGUCGCCAAGC
RNAcentral lists this ribosomal RNA (116 nucleotides) under Bacillus paranthracis. Lineage: Bacteria; Bacillati; Bacillota; Bacilli; Caryophanales; Bacillaceae. The record is from RNAcentral.